UCGAGAAUCUUUCACAAUGGGCGAAAGCCUGAUGGAGCGACGCCGCGUGGAGGUUAAGGUCUUCGGAUUGUAAACUCCUGUCAUGCGAGAACAAAGCCCGCAAGGGUCUGAUAGUAUCGCAAGAGGAAGAGACGGCUAACUCUGUGCCAGCAGCCGCGGUAAUACAGAGGUCUCAAGCGUUGUUCGGAAUUACUGGGCGUAAAGGGUGCGCAGGCCGCGCGGGCAGUCAAAUGUGUAAUCCAGGGGCUCAACCCCUGAACUGCGCUUGAUACUUCCGCGCUCGAGCUUUGGAGAGGAGUCUGGAAUUCUCGGUGUAGCAGUGAAAUGCGUGGAUAUCGAGAAGAACACUUAGGGCGUAGGCAAGACUCUGGACAAAUGCUGACGCUCAUGCACGAAGGCUAGGGUAGCGAACGGGAUUAGAUACCCGCGUAGUCC
This 435-nucleotide ribosomal RNA is filed under the name uncultured bacterium. Its description in RNAcentral is "bacterial SSU rRNA". It matches the Rfam family "Bacterial small subunit ribosomal RNA", at positions 355 to 796 of the family's 1533-position model. The record is from RNAcentral.